UAGAAAAUGGUGUAUUGGGAGCACCAAGAGUUUUGAUCUCUUAAGGAUGGGUUCAAGCCCCUUUUUUCUAA
Molecule: transfer RNA, 71 nt
Filed under: Dolichopteryx minuscula (small spookfish)
Lineage: Eukaryota; Metazoa; Chordata; Actinopteri; Argentiniformes; Opisthoproctidae
Description: tRNA-Gln
Rfam family: tRNA
About the family: Transfer RNA (tRNA) molecules are approximately 80 nucleotides in length. Their secondary structure includes four short double-helical elements and three loops (D, anti-codon, and T loops).
Source: RNAcentral